Molecule: ribosomal RNA, 253 nt
Filed under: uncultured bacterium
Lineage: Bacteria
Also listed under: 1 other name
Description: partial 16S ribosomal RNA
Rfam family: Bacterial small subunit ribosomal RNA
Source: RNAcentral
UACAGAGGUCUCAAGCGUUGUUCGGAUUCAUUGGGCGUAAAGGGUGCGUAGGUGGCGUGGUAAGUCUGGUGUGAAAUCCCGGGGCUCAACCCCGGAACUGCACUGGAUACUGCCAUGCUUGAGUACUGGAGAGGAGAUUGGAAUUUACGGUGUAGCAGUGAAAUGCGUAGAUAUCGUAAGGAAGACCAGUGGCGAAGGCGAAUCUCUGGACAGUUACUGACACUGAGGCACGAAGGCCAGGGGAGCAAACGGG